Molecule: ribosomal RNA, 795 nt
Filed under: uncultured bacterium
Lineage: Bacteria
Description: bacterial SSU rRNA
Rfam family: Bacterial small subunit ribosomal RNA
Source: RNAcentral
AGAGUUUGAUCAUGGCUCAGAUUGAACGCUGGCGGCGUGCCUAACACAUGCAAGUCGAGCGGUAACAGGCGUAGCAAUACGUGCUGACGAGCGGCGAACGGGUGAGUAACGCUUCGGAAUCUGCCCAAUGGUGGGGAAUAACCAGCCGAAAGGUUGGCUAAUUCCGCAUGAGCCCUACGGGGGAAAGCGGGGGAUCGCAAGACCUCGCGCCGAUGGAUGAGCCGAAGCCGGAUUAGCUAGUUGGUAGGGUAACGGCCUACCAAGGCGACGAUCCGUAGCUGGUCUGAGAGGACGACCAGCCACACUGGGACUGAGACACGGCCCAGACUCCUACGGGAGGCAGCAGUGGGGAAUAUUGGACAAUGGGGGAAACCCUGAUCCAGCGACGCCGCGUGUGUGAAGAAGGCCUGCGGGUUGUAAAGCACUUUUAGUGGGGAUGAAAAGCUCAGGGCUAACACCUCUGAGUCUUGACCUAACCCACAGAAAAAGCACCGGCUAACUCUGUGCCAGCAGCCGCGGUAAUACAGAGGGUGCAAGCGUUAAUCGGAAUUACUGGGCGUAAAGCGUACGUAGACGGUUGGAUAAGUCGGAUGUGAAAGCCCCGGGCUCAACCUGGGAAUGGCAUUCGAGACUGUUCAGCUAGGGUGCGGAAGAGGGAAGCGGAAUUUCCGGUGUAGCGGUGAAAUGCGUAGAUAUCGGAAGGAACACCAGUGGCGAAAGCGGCUUCCUGGUCCAGCACCGACGUUCAGGUACGAAAGCAUGGGGAGCAAACAGGAUUAGAUACCCUAGUAGUCC